AAGAUAUUAGUAAAAUAAUUACAUAACUUUGCCAUAGUUAAAUUACAAGCUCAAUUCUUGUAUAUCUUA
Molecule: transfer RNA, 69 nt
Filed under: Monodelphis domestica (gray short-tailed opossum)
Lineage: Eukaryota; Metazoa; Chordata; Mammalia; Didelphimorphia; Didelphidae
Description: tRNA (ENSMODG00000021574.1)
Source: RNAcentral